GGGUUUGUGGCGUAAUGGAUAACGCGUCUGACUUCGGAUCAGAAGAUUCCGGGUUCCAGUCCUGGUACACCUC
RNAcentral lists this transfer RNA (73 nucleotides) under Hydatigera taeniaeformis. RNAcentral's name for it is "Taenia taeniaeformis tRNA". It matches the Rfam family "tRNA". Rfam says of the family: Transfer RNA (tRNA) molecules are approximately 80 nucleotides in length. Their secondary structure includes four short double-helical elements and three loops (D, anti-codon, and T loops). Further hydrogen bonds mediate the characteristic L-shaped molecular structure. tRNAs have two regions of fundamental functional importance: the anti-codon, which is responsible for specific mRNA codon recognition, and the 3' end, to which the tRNAs corresponding amino acid is attached (by aminoacyl-tRNA synthetases). tRNAs cope with the degeneracy of the genetic code in two manners: having more than one tRNA (with a specific anti-codon) for a particular amino acid; and 'wobble' base-pairing, i.e. permitting non-standard base-pairing at the 3rd anti-codon position. The record is from Rfam by way of RNAcentral. Lineage: Eukaryota; Metazoa; Platyhelminthes; Cestoda; Cyclophyllidea; Taeniidae.